GGAGAACCUGCGGCUGGAUCACCUCCUUUCUAUGGAGAAAUCUAGCAAACAUGGCGUUUGACUAGUACAAAGAUGCAAAGCAUCUAUAAAAAUUACAACUUGCUCAAAGGUUACUUAAUGAGUAUUGAUUCUGUUCAAUUUUGAAAGACUAAGUCUUUCAAAAGCGAAGUCUAAUAAUGACAAGUACGAGGAAGCAAAAAAAUUAUGAAAUGAGUAGUACUAAUGUACAUGAAUGAAUAAUUUUUGAAGUUGACGAAGUAAUUGGCUGUAGUAGGCAAGCGAAAAUGUUCUUUGAAAAUUGCACAUAGAUUAAUGUAUAUAAUACAACAAAGCCAAGAAUAAUAUUCUUUGUGAAUGAUUAAUAUAACCAGUUUUGUAUAUCAAAACUUAAAAAGGUCAAGCUACAAAGGGCGCAUGGUGAAUGCCUUGGCAUCAGGAGCCGAUGAAGGACGUGAUAAGCUGCGAUAAGCUUCGGGUAGGCGCACAUAGCCAGAGAUCCGGAGAUUU
RNAcentral lists this unclassified non-coding RNA (507 nucleotides) under Clostridium butyricum. The stretch from base 395 to 507 matches the Rfam family "Bacterial large subunit ribosomal RNA", at positions 1 to 113 of the family's 2925-position model. Lineage: Bacteria; Bacillati; Bacillota; Clostridia; Eubacteriales; Clostridiaceae. The record is from RNAcentral.